RNAcentral lists this transfer RNA (76 nucleotides) under Bacteroidales bacterium. Its description in RNAcentral is "tRNA-Pro". It matches the Rfam family "tRNA". From Rfam's summary of the family: Transfer RNA (tRNA) molecules are approximately 80 nucleotides in length. Their secondary structure includes four short double-helical elements and three loops (D, anti-codon, and T loops). The record is from RNAcentral. RNAcentral also lists the same sequence under 1 other name. Lineage: Bacteria; Pseudomonadati; Bacteroidota; Bacteroidia; Bacteroidales.
CGAGAUGUAGCGCAGUUGGUAGCGCACUACGUUCGGGACGUAGGGGUCGCGUGUUCGAGUCACGUCAUCUCGACCA